AGGACCAUCCUAAGUCACUGGACUAAUAAGAGUGUCUAGAGAAAUGCCUCUGCUGAUUUGGAAUGAUCUAGAAUAAUUGGAAUUCACUUCUGAAGCUGUUGUGGCAUUUGAGACUCCAGUAAGAUUCAACGUAUCGGCACUUAAUUUAACAGACCUUUCUGAUGAAGUCCAAUGUGUAUGUGCUUCGUGAAAUACAGUUUGAAAAUGAAAGCUGAAUACAAUGUAGAGAGAUAAUUAAACAUAAAAAUUUAUGAAGCAAUUUCAUUAUUUAUGGAUACUACAUAAUUUUUUACAACUUAAAUAGAUAUAACUGUUAUCUUCCUUAUUCCUCUUCAUGGGAGAAUGUUAAUGUGAUUGUAACAUAAAAUCUCAGAAGAGUAUUUCUUUUUUGAUGUCUUAUUUUAUUGAUCUCUACUUUAAGAUAAUUUCAUGACAUUU
RNAcentral lists this long non-coding RNA (438 nucleotides) under Callithrix jacchus (white-tufted-ear marmoset). RNAcentral describes it as "lncRNA (ENSCJAG00000082928.1)". Lineage: Eukaryota; Metazoa; Chordata; Mammalia; Primates; Cebidae. The record is from RNAcentral.